Molecule: ribosomal RNA, 1325 nt
Filed under: Vibrio sp. 5C10
Lineage: Bacteria; Pseudomonadati; Pseudomonadota; Gammaproteobacteria; Vibrionales; Vibrionaceae
Description: bacterial SSU rRNA
Rfam family: Bacterial small subunit ribosomal RNA
Source: RNAcentral
GAGCGGCGGACGGGUGAGUAAUGCCUAGGAAAUUGCCCUGAUGUGGGGGAUAACCAUUGGAAACGAUGGCUAAUACCGCAUAAUGCCUACGGGCCAAAGAGGGGGACCUUCGGGCCUCUCGCGUCAGGAUAUGCCUAGGUGGGAUUAGCUAGUUGGUGAGGUAAUGGCUCACCAAGGCGACGAUCCCUAGCUGGUCUGAGAGGAUGAUCAGCCACACUGGAACUGAGACACGGUCCAGACUCCUACGGGAGGCAGCAGUGGGGAAUAUUGCACAAUGGGCGCAAGCCUGAUGCAGCCAUGCCGCGUGUGUGAAGAAGGCCUUCGGGUUGUAAAGCACUUUCAGUCGUGAGGAAGGUGGUGGUGUUAAUAGCACUAUCAUUUGACGUUAGCGACAGAAGAAGCACCGGCUAACUCCGUGCCAGCAGCCGCGGUAAUACGGAGGGUGCGAGCGUUAAUCGGAAUUACUGGGCGUAAAGCGCAUGCAGGUGGUUUGUUAAGUCAGAUGUGAAAGCCCGGGGCUCAACCUCGGAAUAGCAUUUGAAACUGGCAGACUAGAGUACUGUAGAGGGGGGUAGAAUUUCAGGUGUAGCGGUGAAAUGCGUAGAGAUCUGAAGGAAUACCGGUGGCGAAGGCGGCCCCCUGGACAGAUACUGACACUCAGAUGCGAAAGCGUGGGGAGCAAACAGGAUUAGAUACCCUGGUAGUCCACGCCGUAAACGAUGUCUACUUGGAGGUUGUGGCCUUGAGCCGUGGCUUUCGGAGCUAACGCGUUAAGUAGACCGCCUGGGGAGUACGGUCGCAAGAUUAAAACUCAAAUGAAUUGACGGGGGCCCGCACAAGCGGUGGAGCAUGUGGUUUAAUUCGAUGCAACGCGAAGAACCUUACCUACUCUUGACAUCCAGAGAACUUUUCAGAGAUGGAUUGGUGCCUUCGGGAACUCUGAGACAGGUGCUGCAUGGCUGUCGUCAGCUCGUGUUGUGAAAUGUUGGGUUAAGUCCCGCAACGAGCGCAACCCUUAUCCUUGUUUGCCAGCGAGUAAUGUCGGGAACUCCAGGGAGACUGCCGGUGAUAAACCGGAGGAAGGUGGGGACGACGUCAAGUCAUCAUGGCCCUUACGAGUAGGGCUACACACGUGCUACAAUGGCGCAUACAGAGGGCAGCAAGCUAGCGAUAGUGAGCGAAUCCCAAAAAGUGCGUCGUAGUCCGGAUUGGAGUCUGCAACUCGACUCCAUGAAGUCGGAAUCGCUAGUAAUCGUGGAUCAGAAUGCCACGGUGAAUACGUUCCCGGGCCUUGUACACACCGCCCGUCACACCAUGGGAGUGGG